Molecule: transfer RNA, 1070 nt
Filed under: Capra hircus (goat)
Lineage: Eukaryota; Metazoa; Chordata; Mammalia; Artiodactyla; Bovidae
Description: lncRNA (ENSCHIG00010019317.1)
Source: RNAcentral
CAUUAAUCUGUAUGCCACUAUUUUCCCUAUUUUAGUUAUUAUAGACUUAUAUGCUUUUAAAAUAUAUAUUUAACUUGUUAUUUAUUUAUUUGGCUGCAUUGGGUCUUAGCUGAGGCAUGUAGGGUCUUUAGCUGUGGGAUGCAGGAUCUAGUUCCCUGACCAGAGGUGGAACCUGGGCUGCCUGCAUUGGGAAUGCAGAGUCUUAGCCAUUGGACCCCCAGGGAAGUCCCAGAUUUAUAUACUUUACGUAUUUAAAUAUCUGAGUGCAAUCUCUCCUUCCUCUUUUUCACCCAAAGUUUUCUUAGUAAAGAAUUUCACUGGUUUCUUCUUCCAGAUAAGCUUAAAUUUAUUCAUUGGGAAAUUUUAUUAGGGUUGUGUUAAGCUAGNNNNNNNNNNGCCUUUUCUCUGGCCCGGGCCCUUCUGGCCCCAUCUGCAGUAGGUGUCCAGUUGCAAACGGUUAGCACAAUUAGCCCAUUAGCUCCACUUGGUAUCCUGGUCUGUCACCAUCAUCAGUCAUCUAACUAUCGCAACAGCCUCUUAACUCUCCCUCCACUUCCCCUGUGCAUCCUGCAGGCUUCAUCUUUGUGGCCACAGUGGCCAUGUUCCCUGGCAGUAAUGGAUCACCCUGAUCCACCCCCCCCCAAUAAUAAUGGACACAGCAAACAGGAAGGGAGAGUCACAAACUUAUGGACAACGUCUCAAGAAAAAGAGAUGACAAAGUAGUCACAGAGGCCCAUAAUUAUACUGGAGAUUAAAAAAAAUUAAUUUACAUAUAGUAAAAUUCACUCUUUUUGGUGUACAGUUACUUUAAGUCUUGACAAUGCAGAAAGUCAUGUGAUGAUUACCACAAAUAAGAUACAGAUACGCUCCGUGGCUCCUGAAGUUUUACCCAGGCUGUAGUCAACCCUCCUCUGCCCCCACCCUACCAACUCCUGGGGACCACCGAUCUGUUCUCCAUCUCUUGGAGUUUUGCCUUUUCUAGAAUGUCAUAUAAAUGUCGUAUACAUGGAAUCAUUCUGUUUGGAUUCCUUUGAGGCUAGCUUCUUUCACUCAGCAUAAUGCUUUUGAGA